This 253-nucleotide ribosomal RNA is filed under the name uncultured bacterium. RNAcentral describes it as "partial 16S ribosomal RNA". It matches the Rfam family "Bacterial small subunit ribosomal RNA", at positions 524 to 776 of the family's 1533-position model. The record is from RNAcentral.
GACGAACCGUGCGAACGUUGUUCGGAAUCAUUGGGUUUAAAGGGUCCGUAGGCGGUUUUGUAAGUCAGUGGUGAAAGCCCAUCGCUCAACGGUGGAACGGCCAUUGAUACUGCAAGACUUGAAUUACUAGGAAGUAACUAGAAUAUGUAGUGUAGCGGUGAAAUGCUUAGAUAUUACAUGGAAUACCAAUUGCGAAGGCAGGUUACUACUAGUGGAUUGACGCUGAUGGACGAAAGCGUGGGGAGCGAACAGG